UUUGCCUGUGAUGAGUUUUUGUUGACCCAC
RNAcentral lists this non-coding RNA (30 nucleotides) under Mus musculus (house mouse). Lineage: Eukaryota; Metazoa; Chordata; Mammalia; Rodentia; Muridae. The record is from RNAcentral.